This 245-nucleotide ribosomal RNA is filed under the name uncultured bacterium. Its description in RNAcentral is "partial 16S ribosomal RNA". It matches the Rfam family "Bacterial small subunit ribosomal RNA", at positions 524 to 768 of the family's 1533-position model. The record is from RNAcentral.
GACAGAGGUGGCUAGCGUUGUUCGGAUUUAUUGGGCGUAAAGCGCACGCAGGCGGUUUGGUAAGUCAGAGGUGAAAGCCCACGGCUUAACCGUGGCAUUGCCUUUGAUACUGCCUUUCUUGAGUAGAGUAGGGGGAAGCGGAAUUCCGAGUGUAGAGGUGAAAUUCGUAGAUAUUCGGAGGAACACCGGUGGCGAAGGCGGCUUCCUGGACUCUAACUGACGCUCAGGUGCGAAAGCGUGGGGAG